Gasterosteus aculeatus aculeatus (three-spined stickleback) is the source of this 2828-nucleotide long non-coding RNA. The record is from Ensembl. NCBI's taxonomy places the organism in Eukaryota, Metazoa, Chordata, Actinopteri, Perciformes, Gasterosteidae.
CCAGGCUUCAUUACCCCGUCAAUCUGAAGAGAGAGAGAUAGAGAGGGAGAAACAGGCCGGCCAGGGCCCAGCAGUGGGGCCGGAUCCAUAUGGUGCUGCCGGCUCUGGAAUGAAUAGUGAAUGGAGCGGCUGGGCGCUGGGCUGCUGGAAUCUGCCUCCAAGCCUUUGUGAACAGGAUGACCAAAGACAAGAGGGAGCUCUGCAGAUGGCCAGGGCUAUAAAUAGAUGCAGGAGAGGGUGUGAGACUGAAAGCGCGUGAGUGUGGUCUGCACUGCAGGGGGGGGCUGCUCAAACACAAGCCGGGGAACGCAGGGAGAUUGAGCAGUUGUGUUUUCGGUCCAAACUUCUCGCAGAUGGACUUUAAAGUGCGACUGCGUCAAGCGAGGCUGAGUUCCUGGAUUGAACCGCGGGAGGUUCUCAGCAGUCAAGAGACACUUGGAUGCUGCUGAUGCUGCUGAUGCCCUGCGGAUUGAACUUUGGCGGCAGGAUUAAGGCCCAUCCUUGUCAUCCCACAGGGCAGAGUGGUUUGAUUGACAGCUGGGUUCAGCAUCUUGACACAGGUCCGUGCCCCCGUCAUCAUCGCUGAUCGUCCCAUGCCGGCCUCUCAGAGUGACAGGUGCCUGCAGAGCCAUUUACUCCUCACGCAGCCGAAAAGAAAAAGUCGCCACGACUGCUCUCCUCCGCUUCCUGCACCUCUUCGUAACGUAUUUCCUUUUUAGCUUCCUGUAUUUCCCUUUUUUUUAGUAUUGUUUUUUUUCAUUUGGUUCUCCUUGACCUCAUCCUCUUUUCUCUCGUCUCUGAUCAACUCUCAAGUAUCUUCUGCAGGCAUCUUUUAAUCUAAAGGAAUCUGCCAGAUCUUAAUUAAGGUAAUUACUGUGUUUGUUUUAACUUAACACUCAUGACUCCACUCGAGCUACAAUCUUUGAGCGGGCUAUAACAGAUGGGGUGCUUAGUACUCCAUUGGGAUGCCUGACAGGAGUCAGCUGUAUGAUUUUUGAGCUUGAUGUUUUUUAGCUUAAUUUACCUCGCAAAACCGCUUAACAGGAAUUCCUCCCAAACCUUUCGCACAAAUGUUAAAAGGUGUCAUUAAUGUGUUAGGAGGGAAACCGAAACUGCUAUAUUUAUCAUGCGGAAUGGCUGGUUAGCUUUUAAUCACCACCACAAAAUGCGACAUUCCCUGAAGCUCUGUCACUAUGUGUUUUUUUUCGCAUGUACGUUUGGGCCUCAAGGGUUCUGGUUCAUCAACUCACAUUCAUCUCGUGACGAGCUGCUACACAACGUGUGGCGAUCCGCGAGCGACAAAACGCGUCUCUAUCUGUCUCGUUUGCUACUCAAAAGUUAGGAAACUCCAGGUUGUAAGCGUUUUAACAUGUAUCAUGUAACAUGUAACAUGUAUCAUGACCGAGAUACAUAUUGUGUGUGUGUGUGUGUGUGUGUGAGAGACCCAGAAGGACAGGAGGGCAUCAGAUGAGUACAGACUGUUUCCACCUGCCAGGUGCUUGGUCUCUAAUCCCCCCUCUCUGUCUGAUUAAACACACACACACACACACACACACACACACACACACACACACACACACACACACAUGCGUGUGCACGGGCACAACAAGGUCAUCUCUCUGUCAACCAUACAAUAGCGCUGUGUACCCAUCUGGCCUACAUCCUAAAUGCUUCCUCUUCAGUAAGCAAAUAAAAAAAAGGAGAAGACAGCAAACACUUGGAUCCAUAGCAACAGGUUACAAGUAAAUGACGAUUACAACAAUGGCGCUAUUUUACCACGUACUCCUUGUUCAUAAUGACAUGUCAUGUGCAGCCUGAUCUCCAAAACCUGUUCGUAAAAAUGUACACGAAAAUCUUGAAAAUACAAAUUUCGUAGUGAUACAUACGAAAUGACGUCACCCUAUUCAAAGUGAACGGGGACCUGCACCCCGUAAACACACUUUGUGAAGUCUAACGAUGUAAAAUAAACGUGUUAUGAUUGCAUUUUUAACGAGAAAUCAGUGUUAACUUGUAAGAAUAGAAUCCUAACCCUAACCCCCUCCAAAAAUCCGGCGAGGCGGAGAGACGUUCACUCAAGAAUCCGACAUGGUCCGCCAUGUUGUUCACUCAAGGGGCGUGGUUAACCCCCGCAGUUCGUAGGUAUCACUACGAAAUUUGUAUGUUCAAGAUUUUCGUAUACAUUUUUACGAACAGGUUUUGGAGAUCACGUUGGUCAUGUGACUAGUUGGGGAGAGGCCGGCAGUCACUUGUUUUGCCGUAUGUCCUUCUCUGUCCCGUGCACCCAGAGCUCCACUCAGAGAGGAUGAAGCCUGACACAAUAGUUUCUUUGUAUGAUAUCAAAAACACACUUUUAAGAACGCCGUUGUGCACCAAAGCUCGGCCAAAACCGCACGAGAUCCCCCUUCUCCCUUUUACAAUAAUAAAACUGCCUUUCUCUCUCUCUCUGUUUCCUGUUUUUACUUUGGAAUAUGACAAGCCUCCCCUGUGGUGAGGUCAUAUCAUUCUGACAAUGUUUUAUUCUGGGAGUACAACGCUUUGAUAUCUAGGAUAAGAGGGCUUUGUAGAGACAGUGACACCCGUCCUCCUCCUUCUACCUCCUCGGUACCCUCCCACUCCUCUGCCUUUCCUUCCCCUGGGGGGGUUUUGGCUUCUUCUGCCCCAUCUGACGGCUUUUAUGUCUGACGAGGUUUCUGCGCUGUUGAGGUGAGGACGAGGUCAAAAAGGACUUCAAACGCCGCGCUGAGGAACGCCAUGUCUGAAAUGAAUGAAGACGAAUGCGAAAAAAAAAAUUGUUUGUGUAACGUUUUGAACGGACACCUGAGUUCUGG